CUGGCUGCUUCAGGCACCAGUGAUCUUGUAUGCACCAGCUCAGCCUGUUCUAAGUGAGAUAGAAAUCAUAAACAGGCUAAAAUAUGCCACCCCAAAGAGGUGUUGUGAGGAUUCUCCUGCAGCAUGGUGGGGAGCAGUAAACAGUGAUCCAUUAUAAGUAAGGAGGAAGCUGCUUAUGGAAGAAAAAGGUAGAUGCACAAACCCACAGUAUCAGACUUCCUGCUUGGUCACGGGAAUGGGAGGGUUUCCUCUUGGACCCGACUGAGGACACCUGCAGAGGGUGAGUCAUCUGAGAUGGACCACAGCUGAAGCUUCUUGCAGCCAAAGCAAAUGUUUCCCAGAGUGGUGUUGGGACAAUGGAUUUAAUCAUGGCCAGCUGUAAGAUCCAGCCAUCUCAGUCUGAUGGUUCCGCAUCCUGAACGCCAUGUUCCCUCCGCACGAAGUCCACUGGUUGCAAAGUUUAAAACAGGAAGCGUGGAAGCAGAGUAGGGUAACAGAAACAUGCUGGGCCCAUAAGACAGGACAUGCGAAGUCCCAGGUCUUCACGAGGUACCUCGUGAGAAACAACAGCUCACUCCAACUUGGGUAAUUUGAUGAGAGUUUAUUUAUAAAAGGACAAUUUACUAAGGCAUGAGAGAGUGGGGAGGAGCCAUAGGGAUGGUAAAGACAUAUAAGAGAACUAGCUUCAGGGCUGUGACCACUCCGCCUCCCCUCUCCCUACAAAGAGUAGACACAAUUACUAGAAACUGAAAGGGAAGAUGUGAGUGGCAAAGAUCUCCUGGAAAAAGGCAACGACUUCACAAGCGGGGAAGAGGCAGCCUUCAGAUCAUCAGAAGGACCAUUAGAGGGUGCGUGCACAACUGACAUGGAAGAAGGGACAGUUGGCCCCGUGCUGGAGGAAACAACAAUGGACUUGUCUUCUGUAGAAUGCUUGGCCUCCUGGGAGUUGUAGAAUGCCAACUUCAAGUUCAUUCUCCUGGAGGAGGAAUCGGUAAUUCCUUCAAAAUAAAGAUACAAAUCAUUUACAGGUGGAAUAUCCCUCACCUGAAAUCCUUGGAACCAGAAGUGUUUUGGAUUUCAGACUGUUUCUCAUUUAUCCUCCACAUAUAACCUGAAGUUAAUUUUAUUUUUAAUGAUUUGGCACAUGAGAUAUGAUUUCACACCACAGAGUUUUCCCUCUCUGACAUCCUCUUGGUGCUCAAAAAGGUUUCAAUUUUGGGGCAUUUCAGAGAUUGGAUAUUUGGACUAAGAACACUCAACCUGUGUUUUGUUUUCACUGUGUGAAGAUGGGGUUCCAACUGUUCACAGCCCACUGUGGCACAGAAGCCCAUAGCAGUGUGAGGGCCAGAGGGCGCCCUAACUGAGCACCACCCAUCAGCUCGAAACAAGUUGGCUACAGGGCUGCUGUGUUGGCUGCCUUGUCUCCGAAUCUACCCUUGUGAAGAUGGAAUGUCGCUCAUUGGCAGAUUUGAACUUCAGGACUGGGUAUCCCAGAGACCCAGGAGAAUUCUCCAUCUGUCUCUUUUGCAGAAUUUGUGGUGGAGACAGGCAACCAAUACAGACCUACAGGACUGUCAGAAUCAGAUUUUGAAUACUCUCUGUGUAAUCAAACAGCUAAUUAGUGCCUACUAUUCAUUUUUAAGGAAAGUGUAAUCUUUGGGUCUCUCUCUGCUGCUUUGAACCUAAUAAAGAAAUUAGUUUGUAA
Long non-coding RNA from Cavia porcellus (domestic guinea pig), 1705 nucleotides. RefSeq lists it as uncharacterized. Lineage: Eukaryota; Metazoa; Chordata; Mammalia; Rodentia; Caviidae. The record is from RefSeq and is a predicted model, not a curated record. The transcript is spliced from 4 exons.